CACCUCUUAAUUUGUUCUCUUUAUUUCCUUCUUCUCAAAGCUAAAAAACUUUCAACAUAUUCAUUUCUCUCUCUCUCUCCCUACUCAUUCUUUUUUCUUCUACUUGAAACUUUGAUUUUCAUCUUUUUUGUUUCUUAAUUGGUUUUUGCCUUUCUCUUGAUUCUUUGAAUCAUAUGAAGUUAUAUAAAAUGCUACCAAGGCAACUAUGAGUAUAACUUCACUUAUUUCCUCAUUAAUUUUCUCCAUCAAAGAAAUAGUUAUUGCAUUUCUCCUUCUUCUACUUCUCUCUCCUAAUUCCUAUUCCUUAAAUCCUAAACAUGAGACUCUAGACUCUACAAAGGAUGUGUUAGCUGAAGAGAAAUCAAGGUUGGGUUCAAUGCCACCGAGUUGUUACAAUAAGUGUAACCAAUGCCAUCCAUGCAUGGCCGUGCAGGUCAGUGAGGUACCUAAAAUUUAUCAAUUAAUUGUCAAUUGAUUUGUACAAGGAUUUGAAUUGGGGAUGUAUUUUUCUUUAAUUUAUUUCAAAUUAAUGUUAUAUUUUUCGUUUAUACCUAUAUACAUAUAAUUUAAUUAUUUUCACGAAUAAGCCGUGUUAGUUGACACCACUAGUGCAGGUACCAAGCCUACCGAGUCACAACGAAGUCGGACUAAGUGGCGAUGUGACUCGAACCCAGUCCAGCUCCAUGGACUACAAUACUCUAGAGUCCAACAGGUACUCCAAUUACAAGCCACUUGGAUGGAAAUGCAGAUGUGGUGGUCAUUUCUACAAUCCUUAGCUAUUAGCUAUACUUAAUUAGCUCAUGAGACCACUACAUAAUUAAUUGUCUAAUUGUAAAAAUUGUAGGAGUAAGAGUUACAAUUAACUUGUGGAGGAUGUAACCUUUUUGCCGCUGAUUAGAAUAUUAAUAAUUUUUUUAACUACAAUAUUUUGAAAAUUAGGGGAGGUGGGACAAUACAUUAAAUGAGGCUGUUAGGCAGCAUUUACUACGGUGUACAUGUUGAUAAUUAAUACUGACUUUUACAUAAGGCGUUGCAAAUGUAAUGAGGUAGGUUUUGACUAUGGAUCAUGCAUAAGAUUUUUGAUACCAUCUACUCAAUUUAAUCGGCUAUAGCACGUUAUUACUUUAUUUUUCGCAUUAUAACUAUCAUAUUGGAAACUUAAUAGGAAAUAUAUAUUAUUUGGUAUUAUGGGUGUAUUUGGUCGAAGGAAGGAUACUUUUAAUUGGAAAUAUUGACCUGAAAAGUAUGUGAUUUUCUUACUUGUUUGAUAUUUCGUAAGUAAACAAAAAAUAUUAUUUCAAAAGAUAUUCAUACAAAUUUUAUGCAAACACCAUGGGAUGAGGUGCGAGUAUGGGUGUGGCCUGUUGGGGUUGUGGGGAUGCGGAUACGGAGGAGAUAAAUUAGUAUGGAGUUUUGUUCAUCAGCAUAAAUACCAGAAUUGGGUCGAUGACCUUAUUCUAGCCGAUGUGGCUAGAGAGGAGACAAGAGGGGUAACAAGGAUGGAAGCAGCCACACCAACAAUGGUCUUGUAUGGAUAUCUAGGAAGCGUUGCUUUUAGUACCAGGCACAUGUAUGAGCAGUGUAAUUCCAACUGUUAUGGCAGCCCACAAAUUGGAUUCUAAUAUUACUUUCAUUUUUGGAUGAUUCUUUUUCCUUUGUUGGAUAGUCCUUUCUUAUCCUCUUGGGAUUUUCCUGGCCUUCUUUGUCAAUUCGUGCAGAAACUGUCACUGUAGAUGACCCCAUAUGCAUCUGUCAAUUUACCAAGAAAACCCUGAAUUUUUUGUGCAUGAAAAAGACAAAAGGUGAGGUUAUUAAUGUCAA
RNA transcript from Lycium ferocissimum, 1821 nucleotides. It is a transcript of the gene named EPIDERMAL PATTERNING FACTOR-like protein 1, with no coding region annotated. Lineage: Eukaryota; Viridiplantae; Streptophyta; Magnoliopsida; Solanales; Solanaceae. The transcript is spliced from 3 exons. The record is from RefSeq and is a predicted model, not a curated record.